Bos taurus (domestic cattle) is the source of this 735-nucleotide long non-coding RNA. The record is from Ensembl. Lineage: Eukaryota; Metazoa; Chordata; Mammalia; Artiodactyla; Bovidae.
CCGUAAGUGGACGAAACACAUGCCGCAUGUGACCAGAGUCUUUUCGUCCGCUUUCGUGGUUUGACUUGGCCUCUUGUGCUCCAGUUCUGGCCUUGAGGAAGGCAUGUCCCAGAAAGCCGUAGGCCCUGCAGGAAUAAAAGACCCACAAAGUGAAUGGAAACCCAGCCAUGGCCAGAACAGCGCUGAACCUGGCUCCCCUGCUGAUGCAGCUGAAAUCCAAGAAGGCAAGAACACAAUUCAAUGGCUUUGAAGAUUUUUUGCCUUCUGGUUUUGCCUCAGGAGAAAGAAGAACUUAAUAUGACUGGAAAAAUUAAGAUUUCAGUUAUACACGAUAGAGAUAAACUAAAGAAUCCCAUAGAGUUCAAAUUAUUGUCUGUGCUCCCAGAUGGCAUUUUAUAUCUGUGGUUGAGGGAAGGAGAAAUAUCAACCUUGCUAAUAAGUAAGAUAACCAGUUUGAGUGUAAUUUCCUGAAAUAUGUUAAUGGAUGGUUUGGUUUUCUAAAGUAGUCAGGGGACCUGAAUCUGAAAUUUGGAUGUUCUUUUACAAUCCAUAGAAAAGACAUGACAAGUUGUUCUAAUGUGAUUAGAAGAUUAUGUCUGAUCACAUUUCUCUUUCUAAGCACACAGUCUAUGAAAUUAAGGCAAUUAAGAAGAGAUCAUUGUUGUUGUAACUUGAUCCUCCCACUCCCUAGAAUUAAUCUGUCCAAUAGAAUUAAAGGGUUGCUUCCCUCCUGCC